UACGAGGGGUGCAAGCGUUGCUCGGAAUUAUUGGGCGUAAAGGGUUGGUAGGUGGUCUUGUUUGUCUAAGGUGAAAUCCCAUGGCUUAACUGUGGAAGUGCCCUAGAAACGGCAAGACUAGAGUCCUAGAGGGGUUCGUGGAAUUCCCGGUGUAGCGGUGAAAUGCGCAGAUAUCGGGAGGAACACCUAUUGCGAAGGCAGCUCGCUGGGACGUUACUGACGCUGAGACGCGAAAAGCGUGGGGAGCAAACAGG
Molecule: ribosomal RNA, 254 nt
Filed under: uncultured bacterium
Lineage: Bacteria
Description: partial 16S ribosomal RNA
Rfam family: Bacterial small subunit ribosomal RNA
Source: RNAcentral